This is a long non-coding RNA of Pan paniscus (pygmy chimpanzee), 225 nucleotides long. The record is from Ensembl. Lineage: Eukaryota; Metazoa; Chordata; Mammalia; Primates; Hominidae.
GUCACUGAUUAUAAAAAGUAAUAUCAAUUUAAUAACAGCUUUACAUUAAAUGUAAACUUGUAAGAUAAAGCUUGAAUUCAGAAAUAUUAAAACAAGGAAAAACAGAAUGGCUGAAAUCAUCUGCAAUGAAAGGAAACACAAGAUCUUUUUAACGGCCUCAGUGAAAGAGAGAAAUUUUGAGCUGGGAAUUAAAAUGUCAAACCAGUCAAAACUGAUAAAUUGGAC